GGAGCAAGUGAUGGACGUCAUGGGUUUGGAAAACACAGUUCAGAUCACAGAAGACAUCGGAGCUGCUGAUGCGGUUCUAGCGCUCCGCUCGAAACUCAAGUUGAACUCUUGGGUCCGGGGUAUGGCCAAGUUUCGGCAGCUUCCUAUCUUUGUAAUCAAAGCCAACACUAUGGCACAAAUGGUGAGGGCCAUGCGUGCAAUUAUGAGCAUGGAAUCACUGGGCAAUAAUUCCCUCGGCUCCAAUCGGUUACGAGGUGACGACGGAGAGAAAUCCGAAUCGAUAAUUCACAGGCAACCAAACUCAGCGGAGGAAAUUGAUGCCUUAGAGGUAAAUCUAAAUAAUUGUAUGCUUUGCAUACGCACAUACACAUACCUGUGGUAGCCAAACUGCAAUCGUCAUGCCUAUCUGAGGUUUUAAAUUUGAUGUUUAAAUUGGUGCAGAAUGAAGACUGGGGGCUGACCUUGUGAUUAAACAUGGUGUUCAGGAGGCGCGAGUAGCGGUGGAACAGAUAGUGAUCCCCAAGGUUCAAGCUGUCGAACUUCUCCCCCGCUCCCCUGAAGUGCUGGCCUUGCAGGUGA
RNAcentral lists this long non-coding RNA (579 nucleotides) under Physcomitrium patens. RNAcentral describes it as "long non-coding RNA (PPAT_LNC008591)". The record is from RNAcentral. Lineage: Eukaryota; Viridiplantae; Streptophyta; Bryopsida; Funariales; Funariaceae.